RNAcentral lists this long non-coding RNA (4771 nucleotides) under Sus scrofa (pig). Its description in RNAcentral is "lncRNA (ENSSSCG00015025940.1)". Lineage: Eukaryota; Metazoa; Chordata; Mammalia; Artiodactyla; Suidae. The record is from RNAcentral.
CUUUCCUGAAACCCCACUAAAAUUAUUUUAAAAAAUUCAUUUUUAAAGGGCAUAAUGUCACAAAAACAGAGAGAGGAGGAGGGGUAAUGAUAGCAGACAAUUCUUGUCCACAAAGUAGUAGAAGCUGGAAAGCCAAUAACCUAGUGGUAAGUGACCUAGAUUUCAGCUUGCUCCGCUCUGCCUAAGUACCUGAAGCAGAAGAAAGCCAGCUAGAAGCAAGGGGAGUCAUGAAACCCAGAACACCCCCAACAAUAGAAGAACUGAAGGCUUCCAAAGGUGUUGGGUUUGCAAGUAGGGUCUCAAACAGUAGAAUCUGUUAAAAGUCUGAAUAAAGAGUUAACAGACAUUUUAGUUCACUCCCUCUGUCUAGGAAGGUAGGUGACUACACAGUGCAGAAGACAGGUGUCCCCCACUGAUAACAGAGACCUCCAUGAGCCUACCUUCUGAAGUGAGAUCGCUUAUUCCCCUUCCCACACUGGGCCCUGAGAGAGCUGACUGUCAGGCUCGCACUCCAUCAUGCAAGAUAGUGAAGAAAUCCUCUGGGGAAACUCUCGAGCUCUAUAAAUAUGGACAGGCAGGGGUCUCAGCCAGACAGCUGGCUCCUGCAUGAUGGCUCCACAAUGAAGCCUGACACCAGGAGAGCUUUGCAUGAAAGCAGAGCUUCAAACCAACAUUUUAGUAUCCCCAAUCUAAUUUAUUUUUAAAUAACCUUCGUUAAAAUUUCCAGAUCAGAUCAAAGACAUCCUGUGUUUCUUUUAUGCAGAUUUCCCAAAUGUUAACAUUUUACUGAAUAUUCAUGAUUGCCGGCUCUGUCUCACUCUUUCCGUGUGUGUGUGUGUGUGUGUGUGUGUGUGUAGGGAAGUAAGGUACUCAUUAUCAUUUACCUUUAAAAAGAAAGCUUCAGGGGAGUUACCGUCAUGGUGCAGCAGAAACUAAUCUAACUAGGAAACAUGAGGGUACGGGUUUGACCCCUGGCCUUGCUCAGUGGUUUAAGGAUCUGGAGUCACCGUGAGCUGUGGUAUAGGUCACAAAUGCAGCUCGGACCUGGCAUUUCUGUGGCUCUGGUGUAGGUCAGCAGCUACAGCUCCAAUUAGACCCCUAGCCUGGGAACCUCCAUAUGCCAUGGUGCGGCCCUAAAAAGACAUACAUACAUACAUAAAAAGAAAGCUUCAGGAGUUCCCACUGUGGCACAGUGGGUUAAGAAUCCAACUACAGUGGCCUGGGUGACUGCAGAGCCACAGGUUUGACCUCCAGCCCUGCACAGUGGAUUAAGGAUCCAGUGUUGCCACAGCUGCAGUCAGUAUAGGUCACGACUGUGGCUCAGAUUCGAUCUCUAGCCCAGGAACUUCCAUAUACCACGGGUGCAGCCAUAAAAUAAAAAUUUUUUAAAAAAAAAAGAAAGCUUCAGACAUGACCUCCUAUCACCCAUAAAUAAUCUAGUGUAAAUUUCCCCCAAACAAGGACACUCACCCAUUCAAAUUUUGCCAACUGUCCAAAACUACCUCUUUUUUUCUUUCCAAUUCAGGGCUGUGCCAAGGAAUAUGUAUUUAAGUUAAUUCAUACAAGUUUCUUCAGAUCCUUUCAACUUAAAACAGAAUUUCUCAGUCUUUGCAGUCCUUAUCAAUUUUGAAAGAGUACGGGUGUCACAAUCUCUAGGGCGAUGCUUACAAGAAGUCUCAGGACCAGGUCAUGUGUCUUUCACAGGAAGGAAUACCAUGGAAAUCAGGGUGUGCUUUUCUCAGAAAAUCCCAGCAGGCUUUUCAAAGUUGGCAAAGAAAGAACAAAAACAAAAGUAUGUAUUGGGAGUUCCCGUCGUAGCACAGUGGAAAUGAAUCUGACUAGGAACCAUGAGGUUGCAGGUUCGAUCCCUGGCCUCACUCAGUGGGUUAAGGAUCUGGUGGUACCGUGAACUGUGGUGUAGGUCGCAGAUGUGGCUCAGAUCUGGCCUUGUUGUGGCUGUGGUAUAGACCAGCAGCUACAGCUCUUAUUAGACCCCUAGCCUGGGAACCUCCACAUGCAGCAGGUGCAGCCUUAAAAAGACAGGGGAAAAAAAAAAAAGAAAAAAAAAAAAGCAUGUAUUAAAUCUGAGUAAUUUCUAAAACUGAAGCAAGAAAAUGAAACCAGAGUUGAAUACUAUAAAGAAAUGGGAUAAGACAGAGGCUCUCCCCUACCUGCAAGCUAACAAAUCACACACCAGUUUCAUAGACGUCAACAAGACACGAGACUCCUGGAUCAGAGGCAAAGAAUUAUUACUCACAGAACAGCAUGAGCUUCCUAGUCCCUCUGGUCCCCUUGCCAUUCAAGGUCCAAGGGGGUGACAAAGAGUGGCGUGAAUAAAUGCUGCAAUGCAGUGCGUUUCUAUCACAACUGAGAAACUCUGACUUGGGGGAAUCCCAGUCUUUUAUCAUGGACUGAAAGCAAACAUACAUGACCUUUUCCCCAGAAAAGACAUCAUCAUGGCGGACAGCACACAAACCUGUCCUCUGUGCCCGAGGGAGAUGCCAGUGCUGUCUUCCAAGGCUGUUCACUCUUUCUACAUCCCUGAAAUGAUCUUCUCAAACAAAAGCUGUCAGUGCCUCUGCUCAUGAGGUGUGUAGAAAUGCAAAAGCCCAUGGAGAAAAACCCGUAGCCUAUCUCUUCGUGGCUCAUCUCUCAAAACAGUUACAAAAUCGUAAUGGAGGUAACACUGGAUGUUGACCUAACCCAUGAUCAUGACCUAAACAUGUCAAGAAUGGCGAGAAAUGGAAGAGUAAGUUGAGGAGAGCCGAAUGAAACAAAAGACAACAAAUCAUAAUACCCUACAGUGGAAAUAAUUAAAUAACAUCUGGAGUUCCCAUCGUGGCUCAGCGGGUUAAGAACCUCACUAAUGUCCAUGAGGAUGUGGGUUCAAUUCCUGGCCUAAAUCAGUGGGUUAAGAAUUCAGCAUUGUUACAAACUGUGGUGUAGGUCAUGGAUGCAGGCUGAAUCUGCCUGUGGUGUAGGCAAACAGCUGUAGCUCCAAUCUGACCCCUAGCCUGGGAACUUCCAUAUGCUGUGGGUGCAGCCCUAAAAAGCAAAUAAAUAAAAUAUGUAUGUAAUUAUUUUCAUAAAAAUUAAAAUAUAAUUUAAAAAGAAAGAUUUUGGGGCACAAGAGCUUUAUUAUAAAUAUUAGUUCAUGGUUUGAAGCAAUUUAAUCUGCCCCAACUAUCUCUAAGGACCUAAUAGGAAUAUGGGCACCUCAUUUUUUGAGAAAGUGACAUUUAAGGGUAUGAAACUGGUCCCCUUAGCUUAACUAGAUAUUCUCUGAAGGUUUAUAGACUAAGCCCCCAGACCUUGUAGGGAAGAGUGGACUUCCACUAGCACUCUUUGGGCUCAAUGCUUAUGUGCCCUCUUCAAAGAAUAUGGGAAAGAGAAAACAACCUCAUUGCUGGUGUGAUGCCCACUAUAAUCUCUCCCAGCUGCUCUGGGCUGUAUUCACAACAAAGGAAACUUGACUCUGCACAGCCCUUCAGGCUGGUAACCACUCUCUGGAGCUAUUCAUCUAGGCCAGACCCUGUAGAUGGGAACAGGGGUGGGGGUGGGGUAGAAAAACGGCAGUGGCUAAAGAUGGAAGCUAAUAUGUUGGAAGUUUAUAGAGUCAAGAGUUUUGCUAUCUCAAUCUUUUUUUUGUUUUUGUCCUUUUAGGGCUGCACCCAUGGCAUAUGCAGGUUUCCAGGCUAGGGGUCAAAUCGGAGCUGUAGCCUCUGGCCUAUGCCACAGCCUCAGCCAUGCCAAACCCAAGCCUCAGCUGAGACCUACACCAUAGCUCACGUCAACACUGGAUCCUUAACUCACUGAGUAAGGUCAGGGAUCAAACCUUAACCCACUGAGUAAGGUCAGGGAUCAAACCUGUGUCCUCAUGGUUACCUGUCAGAUUUGUUUCUGCUGAGUCAUGACAGAAACUCCUCAAAUCUUUUCUUCCAUAUAUAGGUCAUUGUACUAAAAAAAUCAAAAAUUAUGCAAGAAUAUAAAGUAGAAAGUGGAAGCUCCGGGGCCCAGGAAUAGGAAGGAAUGAAUCAAGAAAGAGGAAGACAGAGAAUGCAGGGAAAGGGCUGACAGGACUCCACCAGAUGACACAGAGAUUCCAGAAUGACAGUUGUGUACCAGCACAGAUAACUACCAGUUCUAACUCCAACUGGUAAAAAGGCUCUAGAAUAAACUUCCUCAGGUACAAUGCAAUGUCUAGAAUAACAUAUAUAAUUAGCAAAGACGUGUGUUAAAUGGUUUCCAAACUGGGGCAUGCAGACAGUGAGAGCAAACAUUAUUAUACUAGGAUGAUGGUCAAAGGGGUAUGAAGAAAAGAAUAUGCAAGAAGGAAAAGGCCAUCAUAAUUUACUACAUGGCAAACCUAUGAAUAUUUCUCAUAGUAAUGUGAAUACCUAGUACUAAUCCAAACAAAAUUACGAUAUGGCUGUGUGGAAAGAUGAGUUCAUGGAAAAGGUGCACAGGUGAGGUGGGAAUUAGGGGAAUAAAGGAAGUAAAUCCUUAUCCUCUACAGUGAGAAACUGAUAGAUAACACAUUAAGCUGAAAAAUAAAGAGGUAUCAGAACAAGCAUGUUAUUUAGAGAGAAAGAGGUAAGCUCAAAAUUUAGAAAUUAAAAUAGGUGGAUAUAGUUUCCUCUUGGGUAAAAAAAAAAAUGGGCAAAGAAGAAACAGGGGAUUGAUGUUUUUUGUGAUUACUUGACUCUUUAUACUUUAUACAUUUAUGUCUUUGAUAUAAGAAAAAAUUAAAAAAAAAAAAAAGAAAGAAAAG